RNAcentral lists this ribosomal RNA (322 nucleotides) under uncultured Pseudomonas sp. RNAcentral describes it as "bacterial SSU rRNA". It matches the Rfam family "Bacterial small subunit ribosomal RNA", at positions 1060 to 1382 of the family's 1533-position model. The record is from RNAcentral. Lineage: Bacteria; Pseudomonadati; Pseudomonadota; Gammaproteobacteria; Pseudomonadales; Pseudomonadaceae.
UCGUGUCGUGAGAUGUGGGUUAAGUCCGUACGAGCGCAACCCUUGUCCUUAGUUACCAGCACGUUAUGGUGGGCACUCUAAGGAGACUGCCGGUGGACAAACCGGAGGAAGGUGGGGAGUGACGUCAAGUCAUCAUGGCCCUUACGGCCUGGGCUACACACGUGCUACAAUGGUCGGUACAAAGGGUUGCCAAGCCGCGAGGUGGAGCUAACCCCAUAAAACCGAUCGUAGUCCGGAUCGCAGUCUGCAACUCGACUGCGUGAAGUCGGAAUCGCUAGUAAUCGUGAAUCAGAAUGUCACGGUGAAUACGUUCCCGGGCCUU